UGGGGAAUUUUGGACAAUGGGCGAAAGCCUGAUCCAGCAAUGCCGCGUGUGUGAAGAAGGCCUUCGGGUUGUAAAGCACUUUUGUCCGGAAAGAAAUCCUUGGCUCUAAUACAGUCGGGGGAUGACGGUACCGGAAGAAUAAGCACCGGCUAACUACGUGCCAGCAGCCGCGGUAAUACGUAGGGUGCAAGCGUUAAUCGGAAUUACUGGGCGUAAAGCGUGCGCAGGCGGUUUGCUAAGACCGAUGUGAAAUCCCCGGGCUCAACCUGGGAACUGCAUUGGUGACUGGCAGGCUAGAGUAUGGCAGAGGGGGGUAGAAUUCCACGUGUAGCAGUGAAAUGCGUAGAGAUGUGGAGGAAUACCGAUGGCGAAGGCAGCCCCCUGGGCCAAUACUGACGCUCAUGCACGAAAGCGUGGGGAGCAAACAGGAUUAGAUACCCUGGUAGUCUACGCCCUAAACGAUGUCAACCAGUUGUUGGGGAUUCAUUUCCUUAGUAACGUAGCUAACGCGUGAAGUUGACCGCCU
RNAcentral lists this ribosomal RNA (526 nucleotides) under uncultured bacterium. RNAcentral describes it as "partial 16S ribosomal RNA". It matches the Rfam family "Bacterial small subunit ribosomal RNA", at positions 355 to 874 of the family's 1533-position model. The record is from RNAcentral.